ACGGGUGAGGAAUACAUCGGAAUCUGCCUUGUUGUGGGGGAUAACGUAGGGAAACUUACGCUAAUACCGCAUACGACCGAAAGGUGAAAGUGGGGGACCGCAAGGCCUCACGCGAUAAGAUGAGCCGAUGUCGGAUUAGCUAGUUGGUGAGGUAAUGGCUCACCAAGGCGACGAUCCGUAGCUGGUCUGAGAGGAUGAUCAGCCACACUGGAACUGAGACACGGUCCAGACUCCUACGGGAGGCAGCAGUGGGGAAUAUUGGACAAUGGGCGCAAGCCUGAUCCAGCCAUGCCGCGUGGGUGAAGAAGGCCUUCGGGUUGUAAAGCCCUUUUGUUCGGGAAGAAAUCGUACGGGUGAAUAUCCCGUGCGGAUGACGGUACCGAAAGAAUAAGCACCGGCUAACUUCGUGCCAGCAGCCGCGGUAAUACGAAGGGUGCAAGCGUUACUCGGAAUUACUGGGCGUAAAGCGUGCGUAGGCGGUUUGUUAAGUCCGUUGUGAAAGCCCUGGGCUCAACCUGGGAAUUGCAGUGGAUACUGGCAAGCUAGAGUACGGUAGAGGAUGGUGGAAUUCCCGGUGUAGCGGUG
This 585-nucleotide ribosomal RNA is filed under the name uncultured Dokdonella sp. RNAcentral's name for it is "bacterial SSU rRNA". It matches the Rfam family "Bacterial small subunit ribosomal RNA", at positions 102 to 683 of the family's 1533-position model. Lineage: Bacteria; Pseudomonadati; Pseudomonadota; Gammaproteobacteria; Lysobacterales; Rhodanobacteraceae. The record is from RNAcentral.